AGUGAACGCUGGCGGUAGGCCUAACACAUGCAGGUCGAACGGCAGCACAGUAAGAGCUUGCUCUUACGGGUGGCGAGUGGCGGACGGGUGAGGAAUACAUCGGAAUCUACUUUUUCGUGGGGGAUAACGUAGGGAAACUUACGCUAAUACCGCAUACGACCUACGGGUGAAAGCAGGGGAUCUUCGGACCUUGCGCGAUUGAAUGAGCCGAUGUCGGAUUAGCUAGUUGGCGGGGUAAAGGCCCACCAAGGCGACGAUCCGUAGCUGGUCUGAGAGGAUGAUCAGCCACACUGGAACUGAGACACGGUCCAGACUCCACGGGAGGCAGCAGUGGGGAAUAUUGGACAAUGGGCGCAAGCCUGAUCCAGCCAUACCGCGUGGGUGAAGAAGGCCUUCGGGUUGUAAAGCCCUUUUGUUGGGAAAGAAAAGCAGCAGGUUAAUACCCCGCUGUUCUGACGGUACCCAAAGAAUAAGCACCGGCUAACUUCGUG
Molecule: ribosomal RNA, 491 nt
Filed under: uncultured bacterium
Lineage: Bacteria
Description: partial 16S ribosomal RNA
Rfam family: Bacterial small subunit ribosomal RNA
Source: RNAcentral